Nannospalax galili (Upper Galilee mountains blind mole rat) is the source of this 744-nucleotide long non-coding RNA. RefSeq lists it as uncharacterized. The transcript is spliced from 2 exons. NCBI's taxonomy places the organism in Eukaryota, Metazoa, Chordata, Mammalia, Rodentia, Spalacidae. The record is from RefSeq and is a predicted model, not a curated record.
GAAUGAGGAAGGGCCCGACAGAGCCAAUCCUGUACAGGUGAUCGGCCUUUUCGUCCCUCCCCUCCAACCUCUGCCAGUCGCCAUCUUGGCGAGUGAUCGAAAGUGUCCAGACAGGCGGGCCAACUCUAGGUCAGGCUACGGAAGUGCCUCGGAACUCAUAGGCCCAAGGUGCCACUGUAUCAAGCAGCCCCAACAGGUAUGCACUGGUCAGAAGUGGACUGAAAUCAGCUUGGGGUCCCAGCUCCUCAGUCAUCAGGCACAGGCCUCAUUGCUUUGCAAAUCUGUUUCUGCAUUCUGUCAGGCCAGGACUCCUGGUUCACCUGUCAGCAUCCUUCUGUUGAUCCAUGCAAACUACCAUCCUUAUACACAAAGGAGAGAUUGCUGAAAAGCUGGUGCUCAAGCAAAUCAUAGAAAAGGAGGAAAACUUUUUGAGGCAGGGUCUCCAUUGGUAGUCUAGGCUGGCCUGGGACUCAUGUCAAUCUUCCUCCUUCAGCAUCCAUAGUGCAAGGACUGUAGGCAUGAGCCACUAUGUAUGGCUCAGUUGUGGGAAACUCUGAAUUGUUUUACAUCUUACACAUGGCACUUAAGUCACUGGCAGAGAUGGAAAGCACAGACACAUGUAGCUCACACAGGACUUUCCUGUUCCUCAUCUGUUUCCUUUAUAGUAUUAUGUGCUCACUCCAGAGCCCCUACAGUUGAGGAUGGUUUAACAGCAAAGUUAUUUGUUUUUAAACUUGUAAAUAA